This 1702-nucleotide ribosomal RNA is filed under the name Escherichia coli. Its description in RNAcentral is "partial 23S ribosomal RNA". It matches the Rfam family "Bacterial large subunit ribosomal RNA", at positions 1237 to 2915 of the family's 2925-position model. Lineage: Bacteria; Pseudomonadati; Pseudomonadota; Gammaproteobacteria; Enterobacterales; Enterobacteriaceae. The record is from RNAcentral.
CGUUCUGUAAGCCUGUGAAGGUGUGCUGUGAGGCAUGCUGGAGGUAUCAGAAGUGCGAAUGCUGACAUAAGUAACGAUAAAGCGGGUGAAAAGCCCGCUCGCCGGAAGACCAAGGGUUCCUGUCCAACGUUAAUCGGGGCAGGGUGAGUCGACCCCUAAGGCGAGGCCGAAAGGCGUAGUCGAUGGGAAACAGGUUAAUAUUCCUGUACUUGGUGUUACUGCGAAGGGGGGACGGAGAAGGCUAUGUUGGCCGGGCGACGGUUGUCCCGGUUUAAGCGUGUAGGCUGGUUUUCCAGGCAAAUCCGGAAAAUCAAGGCUGAGGCGUGAUGACGAGGCACUACGGUGCUGAAGCAACAAAUGCCCUGCUUCCAGGAAAAGCCUCUAAGCAUCAGGUAACAUCAAAUCGUACCCCAAACCGACACAGGUGGUCAGGUAGAGAAUACCAAGGCGCUUGAGAGAACUCGGGUGAAGGAACUAGGCAAAAUGGUGCCGUAACUUCGGGAGAAGGCACGCUGAUAUGUAGGUGAGGUCCCUCGCGGAUGGAGCUGAAAUCAGUCGAAGAUACCAGCUGGCUGCAACUGUUUAUUAAAAACACAGCACUGUGCAAACACGAAAGUGGACGUAUACGGUGUGACGCCUGCCCGGUGCCGGAAGGUUAAUUGAUGGGGUUAGCGGUAACGCGAAGCUCUUGAUCGAAGCCCCGGUAAACGGCGGCCGUAACUAUAACGGUCCUAAGGUAGCGAAAUUCCUUGUCGGGUAAGUUCCGACCUGCACGAAUGGCGUAAUGAUGGCCAGGCUGUCUCCACCCGAGACUCAGUGAAAUUGAACUCGCUGUGAAGAUGCAGUGUACCCGCGGCAAGACGGAAAGACCCCGUGAACCUUUACUAUAGCUUGACACUGAACAUUGAGCCUUGAUGUGUAGGAUAGGUGGGAGGCUUUGAAGUGUGGACGCCAGUCUGCAUGGAGCCGACCUUGAAAUACCACCCUUUAAUGUUUGAUGUUCUAACGUUGACCCGUAAUCCGGGUUGCGGACAGUGUCUGGUGGGUAGUUUGACUGGGGCGGUCUCCUCCUAAAGAGUAACGGAGGAGCACGAAGGUUGGCUAAUCCUGGUCGGACAUCAGGAGGUUAGUGCAAUGGCAUAAGCCAGCUUGACUGCGAGCGUGACGGCGCGAGCAGGUGCGAAAGCAGGUCAUAGUGAUCCGGUGGUUCUGAAUGGAAGGGCCAUCGCUCAACGGAUAAAAGGUACUCCGGGGAUAACAGGCUGAUACCGCCCAAGAGUUCAUAUCGACGGCGGUGUUUGGCACCUCGAUGUCGGCUCAUCACAUCCUGGGGCUGAAGUAGGUCCCAAGGGUAUGGCUGUUCGCCAUUUAAAGUGGUACGCGAGCUGGGUUUAGAACGUCGUGAGACAGUUCGGUCCCUAUCUGCCGUGGGCGCUGGAGAACUGAGGGGGGCUGCUCCUAGUACGAGAGGACCGGAGUGGACGCAUCACUGGUGUUCGGGUUGUCAUGCCAAUGGCACUGCCCGGUAGCUAAAUGCGGAAGAGAUAAGUGCUGAAAGCAUCUAAGCACGAAACUUGCCCCGAGAUGAGUUCUCCCUGACCCUUUAAGGGUCCUGAAGGAACGUUGAAGACGACGACGUUGAUAGGCCGGGUGUGUAAGCGCAGCGAUGCGUUGAGCUAACCGGUACUAAUGAACCGUGAGG